AGAGUUUGAUCCUGGCUCAGGACGAACGCUGGCGGCGUGCCUAAUACAUGCAAGUCGAGCGCAUGACGAGGAGCUUGCUCCUUUGAUUGAGCGGCGGACGGGUGAGUAACACGUGGGCAACCUGCCCUGUAGACGGGGAUAACUUCGGGAAACCGGAGCUAAUACCGGAUAAUCCUCUUCCCCACAUGGAGAAGAGUUGAAAGGCGCUUUUGCGUCACUACAAGAUGGGCCCGCGGUGCAUUAGCUAGUUGGUGGGGUAACGGCCUACCAAGGCGACGAUGCAUAGCCGACCUGAGAGGGUGAUCGGCCACAUUGGGACUGAGACACGGCCCAAACUCCUACGGGAGGCAGCAGUAGGGAAUCUUCCACAAUGGACGAAAGUCUGAUGGAGCAACGCCGCGUGAGUGAUGAAGGUUUUCGGAUCGUAAAACUCUGUUGUUAGGGAAGAACAAGUACAAGAGUAACUGCUCGUACCUUGACGGUACCUAACCAGAAAGCCACGGCUAACUACGUGCCAGCAGCCGCGGUAAUACGUAGGUGGCAAGCGUUAUCCGGAAUUAUUGGGCGUAAAGCGCGCGCAGGCGGUUUCUUAAGUCUGAUGUGAAAGCCCACGGCUCAACCGUGGAGGGUCAUUGGAAACUGGGGAACUUG
Molecule: ribosomal RNA, 651 nt
Filed under: uncultured marine bacterium
Lineage: Bacteria
Description: bacterial SSU rRNA
Rfam family: Bacterial small subunit ribosomal RNA
Source: RNAcentral